Molecule: long non-coding RNA, 596 nt
Filed under: Homo sapiens (human)
Lineage: Eukaryota; Metazoa; Chordata; Mammalia; Primates; Hominidae
Description: non-protein coding lnc-CLEC16A-7:4
Source: RNAcentral
AUGAAGACCAUGAGGCACAGAGAGGUUUGUUAACUUGCCCAAGGCCAAACAGCUGGUGGGGAAGCUGAGGCCCAGAGAGGUGAGUGGCAUGUCCGAAGCAGCCCAGCGCAGGGUGCGAGGUAGGCAGGGCUGGGCCCCCGGGCCUUCCCUGUGAACCAUCUGCCCGCCGGUUGCAGGAGGCAGUUCCUGGAAAGCAAGCGGGCCGAGUUCCUCACAGAGAUCAGAAGAGCAACAAGAUCUCCAGGCCAGGGCAGAGGUCCCCGCCCUGGAUGCUGGUGACACUUCCCCUGGGCGGGAGGGGCUGGGAGCAUGCAGAUCUCAGCCCUGAACAGCCUGUCCUCUCGCCUCGAGGUUCUUGGUAGGCUGGGAACAGCCUGUCCUGCUGAGCUUCCUGUCACCUCUCUAGCUGCCCACACGCCGCACAGCUGCCACCGCCGGCCCUGGCCCGGGAGAGGGGGGUCUCUGGGGAUCUUAGCAGGCCAUGGUGGGGGUGUCUUGGGGCCAGCCUGAACUGAAAGACCAUCACAGCUUGCAAGCCACCUCCCUGCUCUGUUGCUGGCUCUCCUUGAAGACAAGUGUUUUUCAAUUAACCAAAG